CAAUAGCGUAUAUUAAAGUUGUUGCGGUUAAAAAGCUCGUAGUUGGAUUUCAGCCAAGGACGACCGGUCCUGCUUCUGUAGGAACCUGGUAUUGGCCGAGGCAUCUCUUGGUGUACGUGCUGGUGAUUGAGUUCUCCACGCGGACUCCGGGGCGUUUACUUUGAGGAAAUUAGAGUGUUUCAAGCAGGCAUCUGCCUUGAAUACAUUAGCAUGGAAUAAUAGGAUAGGACUUUGGCCCUAUUUUGUUGGUUUCUGGGACUAAAGUAAUGAUUAAUAGGGAUAGUCGGGGGCAUUCGUACUUAACUGUCAGAGGUGGAAUUCUUAGAUUUGUUAAAGACGAACUACUGCGAAAGCAUUUGCCAAGGAUGUUUUCAUUGA
This 378-nucleotide ribosomal RNA is filed under the name uncultured eukaryote. RNAcentral describes it as "partial 18S ribosomal RNA". It matches the Rfam family "Eukaryotic small subunit ribosomal RNA", at positions 592 to 976 of the family's 1831-position model. The record is from RNAcentral.